AACGUUAUUCUCAAUUGCCACACUUACAUAACACUCUCACUCACCUUGCCGUUUCAGUUUUCCCUUUCACGCUCUCACUCUCACUCACCUUGCAGGGUCGCGUUCCCUCUCUCUGCCUUGCUUUUCCCCUCCCUCUCAAGUGCAGUUUCAGUUUUCUGCUCCUUGCAUCGCCUUCCCUCUCCUGGUUGCGUUACCUCUCUCUUCUUGCGUUCUCUCUCACGGCGAAGGUCACCCUCCCUCACCGCCGUCUUCUUCUUUUUCCGGUGGAUGAAAGACAUGCGGUGAUCAACUUGAAGAUCUGAUGCAAUGAUGUCAUUCUUGAAGAUGAGGCUGGUUAUGAAGGAAACAAGUAGAUCAAUAUGAAGAUGUGAUGUUUUUUUAUUGAGAUUGUUUUGAUGUUAUUUGUGUUGUCAACUAUGUUAAGUAUUGUGUCUGUUUGUGAGUUGUGACUCUAUUAUUGUUUUAGUUUCCUUUUGGACUUCUUUAGUUAUGAUUCUAUUGUCAUGCUCGUGUUGGUGCAGCAGGUGGUUAUUUUCUUGUUCUGGUUUUGGAACCUUUGAAGCUUUAUUAAUAUUUUAUGAUCUUUCAAGUUUAUUAUGACAGGAAAGAAGCUAAAUUUCUAAUAUAUUAUGCUGCAUUUUGUGCUUGAA
This is a long non-coding RNA of Lotus japonicus, 650 nucleotides long. RefSeq lists it as uncharacterized. The transcript has 2 exons. Lineage: Eukaryota; Viridiplantae; Streptophyta; Magnoliopsida; Fabales; Fabaceae. The record is from RefSeq and is a predicted model, not a curated record.